RNAcentral lists this microRNA (22 nucleotides) under Petromyzon marinus (sea lamprey). Its description in RNAcentral is "pma-miR-4543". The record is from miRBase by way of RNAcentral. Lineage: Eukaryota; Metazoa; Chordata; Hyperoartia; Petromyzontiformes; Petromyzontidae.
UAUAGGUCUGUGUUGUGAUGUG